GUCAAGUAAGAAUACCCGCUGAACUUAAGCAUAUCAAUAAGCGGAGGAAAAGAAACUAACUAGGAUUCCCUUAGUAACGGCGAGUGAACUGGGAAGAGCUCAAAUUUUAAAUCACCUUUUGGUGAAUUGUAAUUUGAAGAAAGUGUUUUGACUUUUCAGUUUAAUCUAAAUCCUUUGGGAUGAGGUAUCAUAGAGGGUGAGAAUCCCGUUCCUGAUUAGGCCUCGAAUUGCAUUAAUUCACUUUCCAAGAGUCGAGUUGUUUGGGAUUGCAGCUCAAAAUGGGUGGUAAAUUUCACCUAAGGCUAAAUAUAUGCAAGAGACCGAUAGCGAACAAGUACCGUGAGGGAAAGAUGAAAAGAACUUUGAAAAGAGAGUUAAACAGUACGUGAAAUUGUUGAAAGGGAAACGAUUGAAGUCAGUCAUGCUAGUGAGAAAUCAGCAAGGUGGUUUACUUCCUUGUGUACUUUCUUUCAGCAGGUUAGCAUCAAUUUUGGUUGUCAUCAAAUAAUUGGGGGAAUGUGGCUUCUCUUCGGUGAAGUGUUUAUAGACCCUGGUAGAUGUGGCGACUGGGAUUGAGGAUUGCAGCGGAUGCCUUUGGCUAGUCACCUAUCUUCUGACUGUUACCUCGCUUUUGACAGCUUGCUGAUGAUCGUGGGAUUUGAUGGUUUAGAAGGUUAGAGUGUAUAUAAAUUCGCUAAGGAUGCUGACGUAAUGGCUUUAAACGACCCGUCUUGAAACACGGACCAAGGAGUCUAACAUAUGUGCGAGUGUU
RNAcentral lists this ribosomal RNA (772 nucleotides) under uncultured Acaulosporaceae. RNAcentral describes it as "eukaryotic LSU rRNA". It matches the Rfam family "Eukaryotic large subunit ribosomal RNA", at positions 11 to 694 of the family's 3401-position model. Lineage: Eukaryota; Fungi; Glomeromycota; Glomeromycetes; Diversisporales; Acaulosporaceae. The record is from RNAcentral.